CUUGGCCCCACCCCGCCCUUCUUCUGCCAGACUCCCUCCGGGUAUUUUUAGCGCCGGUGAUGAACGCGCGCGCGCGCUGUCAAAUCGUCACGUAACGGAAACGACCUCAGAGCUCCGACACGGACCUGCUGCGGACGGCCGCCUUCAUCUGACAGCCAAAACCCGCCAAUGACAAGAGAUUGGAAAUGAAUUUGGUGUUGUGCGUGGUCCUCCUCCUCACAGGCUCGUCACUGGCACGAGGUCAGAGAGCAACUCCACCUCCCGUUCUCACCUUGACUGUGCUCCCCAGUCAUGUUCUCUCAGAAGACCCUGGGAAUGAAUUCCCAUUCCAAAUACCUGAUGGAUCAUCACCAAAAACCACAAUCAGUACUCAGAUCAAAGCUGUUCCAGAUAGCCUUUCAUCCACGCCCAGCCAUACACAGCACAGCACCCUUGCAGUGCAGCUCCACUACUGAAAGCCCCGCAUUGCUGACCUCUUCAUCUCACUCGAUGCCUUCAUCGCACCCCACAAAGUCCCACAGCCUCACCCAGACCUGGCUGACUGCAGCCCCAACGCACUUGACACCAACAACUCACCCUCAGACCCUAAGUCCAGGCCAUGCCCCUGUGGGGCCAAACACCCCGGGACCUCCCUUCUGAGCUUAAUGUGGGAGAUGAAGACCUCAUGGGGCCCCGUGACCACUCCAAAUUCCCUCUUGAUCCCCUGCUUGCUGGACUGCUGUCAGUGUUCAUUGUGAUGACUGCUAUAGUCUUUGUUAUCCUCUUCCUGAGGUUUCGCCAGAGGUCCAGCCACCCAGAAUUCCACAGGCUGCAGGAUCUGCCCAUGGACAAUUUGAUGGAGGACACGCCUCUCUCUCAGUACACAUACUGAUGGGAGCAUCCAGCCACCUUGGAAAAGUGCACAGCUUCUGUGUGACUGACCAUGUUUGGUCAGUGAUUAAAAAUGCUUGUUUCUAUGUGAAGCUUUCUUAAAUUACAGAUUUUAGACUCUCUUUGACCUUAUGCCACAUUCCCUGUAAAUCUCUGGAGCUCGUGUUUGUUUCCAUGA
Molecule: long non-coding RNA, 1048 nt
Organism: Thalassophryne amazonica
Lineage: Eukaryota; Metazoa; Chordata; Actinopteri; Batrachoidiformes; Batrachoididae
Exons: 5
Source: RefSeq, a predicted model, not a curated record